AAAGGCAGCCGGAUAGCUGCGUCAGGGAAUGUAAAAUCUUUUGAUGAGGAAAGUCCGGGCUUCACGGAAACAAGAUACCAGAUAACGUCUGGCUGGAGAAAUCCAAGGGAAAGUGCCGCAGAAAGUUACCGCCGGCUACAGGCCGGUAAGGUUGAAAAGGCGAGGUAAGAGCUCACCGCACAGGCAGUAAUGUCUGUGGCAAGGUAAACCCUAUCUGAUGUAAGACCAAAUUAGGAGGCUUGAGUUUUCGGACUUAAGAACCGGAGAGUUUCCGCUCCGCUCCAGAGGUGGGUCGCACCAGCCAAGCGGCGACGUUUGGCGCAGAUGAAUAGCUAUCGCACAAAUCUUUGCCGGAAACGGUAAAGCAAAUCGUGUACAGAACUCGGCUUACAGGCUGUCUUCCAUU
This 406-nucleotide RNase P RNA is filed under the name Pseudomonadota bacterium. Its description in RNAcentral is "RNase P RNA component class A". It matches the Rfam family "Bacterial RNase P class A". Rfam says of the family: Ribonuclease P (RNase P) is a ubiquitous endoribonuclease, found in archaea, bacteria and eukarya as well as chloroplasts and mitochondria. The record is from RNAcentral. Lineage: Bacteria; Pseudomonadati; Pseudomonadota.